GAGAGAGACAUGCGCGCAUAUCAAUAAGCGGAGGAAAAGAAACUAACAAGGAUUCCCCUAGUAACGGCGAGUGAAGCGGGAAGAGCUCAAAUUUGAAAUCUUAAAGGGUUUCCCUUUACGAAUUGUAGUUUAAAGAAGUGUUUUCUGUUGAGGUUUUGGUAAAAGUUCUUUGGAAUAGGACAUCAUAGAGGGUGAGAAUCCCGUAUUUGACCAUUAUUUCCAGCUUUGUGAUACACUUUCAAAGAGUCGGAUUGUUUGGGAAUGCAGUCCAAAAUGGGUGGUAAAUUUCAUCUAAAGCUAAAUAUUGGCGAGAGACCGAUAGCGAACAAGUACCGUGAGGGAAAGAUGAAAAGAACUUUGAAAAGAGAGUUAAACAGUACGUGAAAUUGUCAAAAGGGAAGCGUUUGACACCAGUGUUGUUUUUCUGAAAAUCAAUUAAAGAACUGUUUAUGCUAAGUUGUUUAGACUUUAUCAGCUAAGUGUUUAGUUUUAGAGCUUUUCUUUAAUGCACUUUUCAGUUAACAAGUCAACAUCAAUUUCUUUUGCUGUAAAAAAGCUUGAGGAAGGUGGCUUGAGAUUCGUCUUAAGUGUUUAUAGCCUCUUGCCUAUGCAGUCGGAGAGAUUGAGGUCUGCAGCGUAGAUCCUUCGGGGCUAAAUGCAUUUGUGCUAAGCUAUAGCAUUUUAUAGACAACUUGUUGACUAUGAUUUGUCUUGUAGCUUACUCGCUUAUGUUAUUUUACCUACGCUUAGGAUGUUGAAGACUCUACAGAGAUA
Molecule: ribosomal RNA, 774 nt
Filed under: uncultured Neocallimastigales
Lineage: Eukaryota; Fungi; Neocallimastigomycota; Neocallimastigomycetes; Neocallimastigales
Description: partial large subunit ribosomal RNA
Rfam family: Eukaryotic large subunit ribosomal RNA
Source: RNAcentral